Molecule: long non-coding RNA, 902 nt
Filed under: Homo sapiens (human)
Lineage: Eukaryota; Metazoa; Chordata; Mammalia; Primates; Hominidae
Description: long non-coding RNA NONHSAT164713
Source: RNAcentral
CCACCACCUCCCAGGUUCAAGCAAUUCUCCUGCCUCAGCCUCCCAAGUAGCUGGUAUUACAGGUCCCUGUCACCAUGCGCCUGGCUAAUUUUUUUUUUUUGUAUUUUUAGUAGGGACGGGGUUUUGCUAUGUUGACCAGGCUGGUUUUGAACUCCUGACCUCAAGUGAUCCACCUGCCUCAGCCUCCCCAAGUGCUGAGAUUACAGGUGUGAGCCACCGCGCCCGGCCUCCUGAAGUUUUUUAGACGUUAAUAGAAACCACUGGACAAAUUUAAUAAUCUCUUCUCAGUCUCCAUCCUUUCUGUGUUUGAAACAACAUUGAUUUCUUACUGGCCUUCAGAAACACUUAUUGUUUUUCUCCUUCUCAGUAUACUGCUUCUCCACCUCAUUUGCUUUCUUCUUCCUCCUGUGGAAUUUCCACCAAAGCUUCAUUCUCCCGAGACAAAAUCUCAGAGCCACCUUUCCAGGUAUGUCCUCAGCUAAACCAUGGUCCUUUAUCUCCAGCUGUUCACAUCUCUGCACAGCUGACCUAGUGUCACCUAAUAUGCAAACAAAGCUUCUCUUCCUCUCUCACAAUCAUCGUUCUGAACUUUUCCCACUUUUGUUGAUACCACUAUUCACUCAAUUCCUUCAUUUCCAGCUCUAAGAAUUAAUUAUCUGAAGUUUGUUUUCUCCCAAGCCCAUCACACUGAUUCAUCAGUUGCUUCCCCAAGCACAUCAUCUUAAUUCAUGCCUGUUACGAUGGCCUUCAAGGUGCCCUAGUUUCACCACACUGAAAUCCACCCUAUAUUAGUGUGAUUACACUGCUUUCAUCAUAUUAUUCCCCUGUCCAGGAACUCAGUUCCCCAUCUAAACAAACACAUGAUCCUAUUAUCAACAUACCCUGCCUAAAUUGCCCGUUUU